Non-coding RNA from Podarcis lilfordi (Lilford's wall lizard), 70 nucleotides. The record is from the annotation of a GenBank genome assembly. Lineage: Eukaryota; Metazoa; Chordata; Lepidosauria; Squamata; Lacertidae.
GACUGUAGCUCAGUGGAAGAGCAUCUGCUUUGCAUGCAGAAGACCUCAAGUUCAGCCCCUAGCAUCUCCA